Arachis duranensis is the source of this 1989-nucleotide long non-coding RNA. RefSeq lists it as uncharacterized. The record is from RefSeq and is a predicted model, not a curated record. The transcript is spliced from 3 exons. Lineage: Eukaryota; Viridiplantae; Streptophyta; Magnoliopsida; Fabales; Fabaceae.
UCUGCUACAUAUCCAUAUAACCAUAUAACUAAGUUGGCCCAAACCUAAAUAGAUUCAGGCGCAUUAAAUGAAGAGUGAGAAACACGCGUUAGACACAAAAAAAUCUCUUGUUUUCCAUUCGCGCUUCAUUAUAAAAGAACGUUACAUCUUCAACACGAAACCAAUACACCAAAAUACUCAUUCUCUUCGAAUAUCUCUGAACAUCACUCAAACUUCAAUCACAUUCUUUGCGAAAACCACUACUGCAAAGGAAUUGGAAGAAGAUUUCGCAAGCAACAACCAGAAACAAACAAAAACAGCAACAAAGACUACAAAAGAUGCCAAACUAAGGCAAUAACAACAGUGUACAAGAAAAUGAGUCAAGAAAAAAAAGAUAUUGUGGAAGAAAUGAAAUUUGGUGCUCUGGCACAUGUCCCAGAAAUGAACGUCUCUAAUACACUGUUGAAAGAAUUGCUUGAUCGGUUUGAUGAAGAGAGAGGAUGCCUGAAAACUCCUCAUAGGAGAAUAUACAUAACUCCUUAAAAAGUAGCAGCUGCCUUCGUCAUAACUAAUGAAGGAAAUUUUUUUUCCUAAAAAGGUUGAUUACAACAACUUGAAUUCAGCAAACAAGAAAAUAUUUGACAGCGUCAAAAAUAUUUUUUUGCGACUUUGGCAAAGAAUGUGUUGGAUAUGAGUGUAGAAGGGGAGGAGAACCGAAAAAAAUUCAAGAGGACUUUUUUUGUCUUCAUACAAAAGUACUUCUUGCUCCCUACAAUGGUAAGUGUGGCCUCUCCAAUCCAUAAGCCACCGAUCUUUCAUGUGGACAACAUUCAGGAAUGGGAUUGGAUAAAGCAUGUGCUCAUCAACUUCUUGAUGAAAGGAGUUGAAAACAAGAAAAAUCGUUCACUCACAGAAUCAAAAUCAGAAAGAGUACCGAACCGAAAAAUGUUCAUAUGGUUAAUAAAUGAUGAUCAACUUUAAAUCAAUAAGAAUACUAUUACAGUAGUAUGGCUUAUCAAAGUGAAAGUUUUCUCUAAUGUGAAUUGUCCUAAACAAAAUUCAUUUAAUACAUCAACAACCACAGCAUGUAUAUGUUAAACAAGUCAAUUAAAUUGUCACAACCCAACGAACCAAAAAUUCUUCAUGCACAGAACCAAAAUCACAAAGGGUACCAAACCGAAAAAUGUAUAUAACUAUUCAUACAAAUAAGAAGAACCACAUCUAUCUUAAUCAAAUAUAAUGAGACAAUUUUACAGUAGUAUGGCUUAUCAAAGUGAAAGUGUUGUCUCUAAUGUCAAUUGUCCUAAACAUAACUCAUUCAAUACAUCAACAACCACAAGCAUGUAUAUCUUAAUCAAGUUAAUUAAUAUGUCACAACCCACCGAACCGAAAAUCCUUCAUGCACAGAACCAAAAUCACGAAGGCCACCAAACCGAAAACGUUCAUGCGGUUAACAAGAAUAAUGUUCUUCAAUGCAAAAGAAGUACUGAAGAUAGUAACAAUGCUCUAGUUAAACUAUCCACACCAAUAAGAACAAGCUCCUAUAUCUUAAAGCCCUAGUUAUACUGUAAAAAUCAUUGAUAAUUGUUCAAUCUACUAAACGAAGCAAAUCAAAGUAGUAAAACUAAAAUGAAACUAGGCGAAACACGACAUUGCAAGAUUUUUAAAUGAACAGUAAUUUUUUCAUACCUUUUGUAGUCUUUGUUGUUGUUUUUGUUUGUUUCUGGUUGUUGCUUGCGAAAUCUUCUUCCGAUUCCUUUGCAGUAGUGGUUUUCGCAAAGAAUGUGGUUGAAGUUUGAGUGAUGUUCAGAGAGAUUCGAAGAGAAUGAGUGUUUUGGUAUAUUGGUUUCGUGUUAAAGAUGUAAGGUUCUUUCAUAAUAAAGCGCGAAUGGAAAACGAGAGAUUUUGUUGUGUCUGGCGCGUGUUUCUCACUCUUCUUUUAAUGCGCCUGAAUCUAUUUGGAUUUGGGCCAACUUGGUUAUAUAGUUAUAUGGUUAUAUAGAUGUGUAG